UUCUCAUUUAAGUCAUUUUCUUAGCAUCUUUGAGUCCCUUCAUUCUAUUCAGUCUUGACUGAAUGUAUUUAAUAAUAUGUAGCUGAUCUUUCUAAUGUUUUCUCAUAUGUUCUAUAUUGUCUAGUAGACUUCUUCCAAUUGACAAAUAGUAUCAGAAUGUCCACAAAGAAACAGGAUAGUGUGUAAUAUAUAUGAUUAUGGAUGCUAUGGAAUUGAAGGUGUGCUUUCUGAGGAAGCCCUUCAGGAAGAGGGUUAUUAGACAAUGAUUAGGCACUACUAGUCCUGUUACCCUGAAAAUCUUCUUCACCCUCAUAAGGAUUCAAGAGCCAAUUUCUUGAGCCAAGUGACAGGACAGCUAAAGAGUACUAAGGAAAUAUUAAAUUGGAUGAUUUUUUUCUCAUU
Molecule: long non-coding RNA, 402 nt
Filed under: Homo sapiens (human)
Lineage: Eukaryota; Metazoa; Chordata; Mammalia; Primates; Hominidae
Description: non-protein coding lnc-TDRD3-4:11
Source: RNAcentral